Oreochromis niloticus (Nile tilapia) is the source of this 1415-nucleotide long non-coding RNA. Lineage: Eukaryota; Metazoa; Chordata; Actinopteri; Cichliformes; Cichlidae. The record is from Ensembl.
AUGGCAGCUGUCAAGUAUUUCCCAUCUAUCCACGACAAAACAGACAACAAGAAAACCUGGCCUUUUUUUGACCCUGUGCCAAACCAGAAAAACUCUUUGCCCAUCGGUUCCAGAAACGACUGCUCUGCUAACAACUUGAAUGAUGGUGUUGAUCAGCAGCUCGAAGCUCCAGCAGCCUGGAAGACAUCAAACAUUUUGCCGGUGCCUGAUUACCAGCCUCUGGAUGUUUUCAGUGCGCCAGAAGAAGAUCCUACUGUAGCGUCAUGGAGCGAGGCGGAUGAUAUCUGUGAGCUCUGCAUCAGGCUCAAAGAAAUUGAGCUAUGCAACAUGAUAGGAGAGACAACGAGCAACCGGGAGAAAAAAUUUCUGAGGAACAUCGGGUAUUACAGGGUCAAGCAGAAGAGGAGAAAAAAGAAAUAAAAAAACUCAGAAAGAUAAAAAUAUUAAAAUGAACUGCAAUGACAAGCAAUUACGCUUCUGAGCUGAAAUGUUUUUCUGUUUGUGUGGGUUCUCAGUUUAGCCAUUUGACUGUUUUUCCUACUAUGUGAUCCCAGAGGGAAGUAGAGUGCAUCUUUGUCCAUCAGUUUUUAUCAUUAUACAUUAAAAACACUGUGUAAACACUGGAAACCUGCAAAACCACAAACAUUCUAAUAUCACAAAAAUCUAGUUCGUUGUACUAAACCUCAACACUUUCAGACAGCGAGUAGUGCGUUGUUUUUAAAAUACAUUUCUGACUGGCUGCCACGGCUCACUGCAACCAUGCCAGCCACAGAAACCACAGCAAGAGAAACAUUACAGGAGAUCAUUUACAGCCCAAAAUGUUUAAGCUACUACUGUGGGUUUGAAUGAUUAAGGGUUAAAAACAACCCUUACGUGUCUGUUAAGGGCAAAGUAGAAUUUGGCAGAUGGGGGAACUUUAAGGCAGCGCUGAUAAAUGAUUGACCUUAAAAAUUAAUUCGUCCUGAGAACUCUGGUGGACUUGCUCUGAUUGAGAAAGGCGAUCAGCUCACUUGCUUAUGGCUCUGAUGUUUCCAAGUCUUUGUGGAUUUAGGCAACUGUAUUCUACAGAAUACAUUUAAAGUUGGGGAGGUGUGUUUUUUGUUGUUUUGUUGUUGUUGUUUUUUUUUUAUUUCUAGUCCAUUUUAUUUACUGGUUAUAACACCAACACUGCAGCAGGACUGGUUGAAUGAAGUAAGCAGUCACUGAGGGAAAGAGGAACGAUAUCUGUAUUGAAGAACUGCUGGUCAUCACCCAGUAAUGACUUAGCUUCCGAGGGCAGAUAUGCGAUUUCCUAAACUGGAAGUCUUGAAAUACUGGACCCCAGGAGCUAUAUUACAAUUAAAUCAAGAUGGCUGAUGGAUUUGCGAACCCAUCAGCUAGUCUGAUGGGUUUUAUCAAGAUCUGUGAAUAGAAGG